Sparus aurata (gilthead seabream) is the source of this 7403-nucleotide long non-coding RNA. Lineage: Eukaryota; Metazoa; Chordata; Actinopteri; Spariformes; Sparidae. The record is from Ensembl.
UAAUAUUUUGUAAACGUGUGUCAAGGACUUACCUGGUUUUACAGGUUGUGUGAAAGUGGUGACUGGCACUGUUGCCUCGUCACUUCCUCCACUGCUGAGGCAGGAGUCAUAUGUUUGAGGUCGAGGAAUAAUACGUUUGGCUGUGUCUGGAGCGGUGACAGGUAACACCCGUCAUCAUGGGAAGAAAACUCUUUUGUUGGAUAUUACUGCUUGGACAUGCUGUCUCUGCACAAGCUCAAAGCACCACUACUGCAGCUCCAACUACAACAACUACUGCAGCUCCAACCACCACAACUACUGCAGCUCCUACCACAACUACUGCAGCUCCAACCACCACAACUACUGCAGCUACAACUACAACCACUGCACCCUCAACCACCACAACUACUGCAGCUCCAACCACAACAACUACUGUAGCUCCAACAACAACAGCUACUGCUGCUCCAACCACAACAACUACUGCAGCUCCUACCACCACAACUACUGCAGCUCCAACCACCACAACUACUGCAGCUCAAACCACCACAACUACUGCAGCUCUAACCACAACAACUACUGCAGCUCCAACCACAACAACCACUGCAGCUCCAACCACCACAACCACUGCAGCUCCAACCACCACAACUACUGCAGCUCCAACCACAACAACUACUGCAGCUCCAACCACCACAACUACUGCAGCUCUAACCACAACAACUACUGCAGCUCCAACCACCACAAUUACUGCAGCCCCAACCACAACAACUACUGCAGCUCCAACCACAACAAUUACUGCAGCUCCAACCACCACAACUACUGCAGCGCCAACCACCACGAUUACUGCAGCUCAAACCACAACAACUACUGCUGCUCCAACCACAACAACUACUGCAGCGCCAACCACCACAAUUACUGCAGCUCAAACCACAACAACUGCUGCAGCGCCAACCACAACAACUACUGCAGCGCCAACCACCACAACUACUGCGGCUCCAACCACCACAACUACUGUGGCUCCAACCACAACAACUACUGCAGCUCCUACCACAACAACUACUGCAGCUCCUUCCACAACAACUACUGCAGCUCCUACCACCACAAAUACUGCAGCUCCAACCACCACAACUACUGCAGCUCAAACCACCACAACUACUGCAGCUCUAACCACAACAACUACUGCAGCUCCAACCACAACAACCACUGCAGCUCCAACCACCACAACCACUGCAGCUCCAACCACCACAACUACUGCAGCUCUAACCACAACAACUACUGCAGCUCCAACCACCACAACUACUGCAGCUCUAACCACAACAACUACUGCAGCUCCAACCACCACAAUUACUGCAGCCCCAACCACAACAACUACUGCAGCUCCAACCACAACAAUUACUGCAGCUCCAACCACCACAACUACUGCAGCGCCAACCACCACGAUUACUGCAGCUCAAACCACAACAACUACUGCUGCUCCAACCACCACAACUACUGCAGCGCCAACCACCACAAUUACUGCAGCUCAAACCACAACAACUGCUGCAGCGCCAACCACAACAACUACUGCAGCGCCAACCACCACAACUACUGCGGCUCCAACCACCACAACUACUGUGGCUCCAACCACAACAACUACUGCAGCUCCUACCACAACAACUACUGCAGCUCCUUCCACAACUACUGCAGCUCCAACAACCACAACUACUGCAGCUCCAACCACCACAACUACUGCAGCUCCAACCACAACAACUACUGCAGCUACAACCACCACAACUACUGCAGCUACAACCACCACAACUACUGUAGCUCCAACCACCACAACUACUGCAGCUCCAACCACCACAACUACUGUAGCUCCAACCACCACAACUACUGCAGCUCUAACCACAACAACUACUGCAGCUCCAACCACCACAACUACUGCAGCUCAAACCACAACAACUACAGCAGCUACAACCAGCACAACUACUGCAGCUACAACUACAACCACUGCACCCUCAACCACCACAACUACUGCAGCUCCAACCACCACAACUACUGUAGCUCCAACCACCACAACUACUGCAGCUCCAACAACAACAACUACUGCAGCUCCAUUCACCACAACUACUGCAGCUCUAACCACAACAACUACUGCAGCUCCAACCACCACAACUACUGCAGCUCCAACCACCACAACUACUGCAGCUCUAACCACAACAACUACUGCAGCUCCAACCACCACAAUUACUGCAGCUCCAACCACAACAACUACUGCAGCUCCAACCACAACAAUUACUGCAGCUCCAACCACAACAACUACUGCAGCUCCAACCACCACAAUUACUGCAGCUCCAACCACAACAACUACUGCAGCUCCAACCACAACAAUUACUGCAGCUCCAACCACCACAACUACUGCAGCGCCAACCACCACAAUUACUGCAGCUCAAACCACAACAACUACUGCAGCUCCAACCACCACAAUUACUGCAGCUCCAACCACAACAACUACUGCAGCUCCAACCACAACAAUUACUGCAGCUCCAACCACAACAACUACUGCAGCUCCAACCACCACAAUUACUGCAGCUCCAACCACAACAACUACUGCAGCUCCAACCACAACAAUUACUGCAGCUCCAACCACCACAACAACUGCAGCGCCAACCACCACAAUUACUGCAGCUCAAACCACAACAACUACUGCAGCUCCAACCACCACAACUACUGCAGCUCCAACUACCACAACUACUGCAGCGCCAACCACCACAACUACAGCGGCGCCAACCACCACAACUACUGCAGCGCCAACCACCACAACUACUGUGGCUCCAACCACAACAACUACUGGGGCUCCUACCACAACAACUACUGCAGCUCCUACCACAACUACUGCAGCUCCAACAACCACAACUACUGCAGCUCCAACCACCACAACUACUGCAGCUACAACCACCACAACUACUGCAGCUACAACUACAACUACUGCACCCUCAACCACCACAACUACUGCAGCUCCAACUACCACAACUACUGCAGCUCCAACUACAACUACUGCACCCCCAACCACCACAACUACUGCAGCCCCAACCACCACAACUACUGCAGCCCCAACCACCACAACUACUGCAGCUCCAACCACCACAACUACUGCAGCUCCAACCACCACAACUACUGUAGCUCCAACCACCACAACUACUGCAGCUCCAACCACCACAACUACUGCAGCUCCAACCACCACAACUACUGCGGCUCCAAACACUACAACUACUGCAGCUACAACCACCACAACUACUGCAGCUCCAACCACCACAACUACUGCAGCUCUAACCACCACAACCACUGCAGCUCCAACCACCACUACUACUGCAGCCCCAACCACUACAACUACUGUAGCUCCAACCACCACAACUACUGCAGCUACAACCACCACAACUACUGCAGCUUCAACUACAACUACUGCACCCCCAACCACCACAACUACUGCACCUCCAACUACCACAACUACUGCAGCUACAACUACAACUACUGCACCCCCAACCACCACAACUACUGCACCUCCAACUACUACAACUACUGCAGCUACAACUACAACUACUGCACCCCCGAUCACCACAACGACACCUAUCACCCUGACCACCAUGACUACAACCACACCAGUAAUCACCCCAAACCAAGGUUUGGAGGCAGUGGCAAUUCUUCAGGUGAAGUUAACUUCAAUCGGUGUUAUCAGCAAUGGAACCAUUACUCAUCUUGUUGAACAGUUUGUGAGGGGGCAGCUCUUGAAUGGAACCAACCACACCACAGUCAGUGUGACAAACAUUCAAAGGGUUAGAGUCGUCCCAUAGAAGCGUCAUGCAACUGCAAGUAAAAUUGAAUGUAUGAAGAAAGCAAUUCAAGGGGGUGCUGACUGUAUUAAUAAAAUGUCAUCUUCAUCUCAACUACACUGCAGAGGCUAAGAUUUUAGACUGUCUCCCCUGUGCAUCUUUAUCAUCAUUUUGUUCUAUUAAAUCUCAAAAACAAAACAAAGAGAGAGUCAGAAAAAGUCAACAUUAAGAUCCAUUUUCGCUCUCUAUAGUCCCCAAACAAUAUUUUCAUCAUUACACUGCUGGCUGUGUUUCCCAUGUGAAUGGAAAUGCCAUUUAUCUCAAGUGUUCAGUAGCGAAGAAAGGCUCAAACCAAGCAAUCUGAUGCAUCAAAGAGGUUUCUUAAGAAGUGUCAGUAAUCCAAAUACUUUGUAACUGGAGCUGCUUCACUGAGAAGCUUGGCAACCAGGAAACUACCAUGCUGUUGUGUAAUAGUUGCAAGACAGUUUACUGAUUUGGCAACGAUGACUUUGCCUCAUACCAUUUGCAUAGGGUAUAUAUAUAUGUAAUCCGGGAAGUGAAUUAAGUAUUUUUUCCUAUACGUUACAGCUGUGUCUCCUGGAUGUGUCUCCAUUCAAUCCUCUUGAGACUCAUGAUUGUCCAUGGUUAAGUUUGGUUUUGCUCUCUGUUUCAGUGUGGUCAAACCUGCUUUUCCUGGUCAUGAGCUAACUAGUGGAAAGUACUGAAAUGUAUAUAGAUUGUGACAUAUUAAAGCAGGAUAAACGUUUGUUGAUCCUGAACUUGGACCAGUAUGGCUAUUAUGUUACUGCAAGGGAAUGCAGCAAUACUAAGUGAGAAAAAAAAAGGCAAUGCAGCAAUGAUUUUUUAAAUUAUUUAUUUGUAUACCUGCUGAUUGAUGUUUUUUCUUCUAUCACUGAUUAGAAAAUUGUUUUCAAAUGGUUAUUUUUGCAUAAAAUUUUUUUUUGUUGUUUUUUAGAUGUUUAGAUUUCAUUAUUUUUGAAAAUGAUUAUUAGGUGAAAUUCUGUCUGUAUCUCCAAUCGGACUUUUCCCUUAAAAGGCACAAUAUGCAAGAACUGGCCACUUGUUGAAUUUAUAUUCUAAAAAAAUAUGCAUAUUUCCUGAGUAACUGCUAACUGAUGUUGCCAUUUGCUUGUUAGCUUCAAGCCCCAAGAAGGAGCGCUGGACUCUGAAGUCAGUUUUCAUAGUGGCCAAACCGUGUAAUUACAUGGUCACGUGAUGCGCUAUUUUAUCCUCAUUCAAGUUUGCUGGGUGUCAAGGUGGACUCUUGAUGCUAAAGAAAACACAGACACCAAUAAUGAUUCCAAUGUCAUUAAUAUAUUGGCUGAUAAACUUGGAGUUUAUCACAGCUGGAACCACCUGUCAGAAUGAAACAAUCAUUUUGGACCGACAAACAUUUUAAAAUUAUUAAUUUACAAUCAUGUUUUAAGGAAAAGAGAAUUUUAUUUUGCACCUUUCUACAAGCUCUGUAGAUGUAUUACUUUUAAGAAAAUGAUUUGUCUACAUAAAAUUUUUUAUCAAUUUAAGACUAGAUGUAUGACAUAAUAUGCACAGUUGCAUUGUUCCAUGUUGUAUUAUGCCCUUCUGAAGGAUGAAUAAAGAGACGUGUAUUUGAGGUGCCAUUCUUGUCUUGUUUAAUAGAUCCUCUGAAAAUAAACUUUAUUCAACAUUUGAUUUGAGAGCAUAUAUUAUAUAUUAUUUGUUGAGAUCCACCUUACAAGAUUAUGUUAAAAAGACAAAACACGAUAAUAUCAAGUGAAAAUUUGCCAUCAGUUGUGUUCAAUUUUUCUUCAAUAUUUGAAAUUAUAAACAUCAGCAGAGACACGAUGCAAGACAUUCUGUGAGACGUUAAAAAGAUGCAGUCUGUAAAUGUUGAAGGUUCAUGACUUUGGAACCUGCGUCAAUGGUGUUUUGGAAUAACUGUUAAAAGGAUAAGAUAAAACAUGGACGACAGUGUUAAGAAUUCAUGAGGGUUGCCUGAAAGUACAGUCGUCACUACCAUUCUUAUUUUACAAAGGCUAAAACUCUCUUCUCUUUCUUCUGCUCUUCUUAAAGACAUUAUUGUUCCCGUGGCAUUUCUAGAUUUACACUGAUAUUUCACACCUGACGGAGAACAAAGCUUCAAACAAUAAAACAGCAGAGUUUAGGCUUUAACUGAACCGACAAACAGGAGCGCUUCCGGUUUAUAAACCUGUCCUCGCUGGUGGGCGGCUGUCCUCGCCAUCUCCUUCUGUCUGAAAACGUGAAGGAUGGUGCGUGGCUUAGUUCAGCAACAUUAACAUCCUAAGUUUCAAGUCACUCGUGCAGCUGUCCUCCCAGCUGAUCAUCUUUGUCCGUGCAGCUCUCUGUCCUGGCCUCCGGACAGAACUCCUUCCUUUAAAAAGAAUCAACACAUUCAGGAAAAUCAGUUAAACGGUUUAUCAUUUAAAAAAAUGUUUUGUCGUAGGAAGAGCUCACGCUUCUUACCUGUUCACCUCAGGUGUCUUGCUUGUUGAUCUCGCAGAUUCUGCCUGCUGAGAGAAGAGUGUUUUAACUUUUGUGGAAGAAAUAUUUAAAAGAUAAAAGAUCCCAUCCAUACAUGUUUUUAGGCAUACUAAAGGUUUCUAAUGUGUGUCUGAAAAUAAUAAUAAUAAAAUAUAUAUAAAUAUACAAAAUGUUAAUUGUAUAUCAUGGCAGAUGAUUUUAAAUUUUUAAUCAAAUCUUAAAAUUUGUGAUUUUCACACUGCUGCUUUGGCACAUACCAUCUGAAAUAGCAUGUACAGCAAGAAUCACACUCUUCAAAUGUGGUACAGAGAUGGAUUCCAUUGCGAACUCAAGUGGAUUAAAUAUGAAAAUGGUCAAGUCACAUUGUUGGAGUAAAUACGGAGCAGCUGUGGUUUACCUGUGGGUAGUCCUGGUGGCUGAGGAUAUACAGAGCACCAUGUCCGGAGAUCCUGACCACCUGCUCUCCAGUCCAGCCUCCUGCAGGGGUGUCUGGGACGUACAACACCGUGGAACCGUGCAAACACUUCAAGCCAGAAACCAUAAGAUAUAAAUGAACAAAAGAAAAUGUAGAGGAAUCUGAGGGAAACUUUAUUAUAGAUAAACUUAAUCCUAAAUUCAACAUAAAUUUGAGGACCAGCUCUUAAUUCUUAGAACACAACAGAACAGGAACAAGUAAAUUAUCUAUAUGCUCAAGUCAAACUAUCUGAACACACACUGACCUGUAGAUAUGUGAAGGAGAACCUUUGGCCCGCCCGUUUCACAAAACGCCCCCAGAAGAGCAAAGCCAGCCGACUCUGUACCUGAUUGGCCGUCCAACCGCAGUCAAUGGUGAUGCGAGCGGUCAUCCCCAUGGCCGCUAGAGCUGCUUGUUCUUUGCCCUGUGGAACAGUGUGCCUGGAAUAACGGAAAGGAAUGUUUACUUUAUCGAGAUAUUUUUAUUGGAUAGUCUAAAAUCUGUAAACAUCAGCCAUGUAUGAAUACGUCAUCUGUCACCAGAGGACAUGGUCUCAAAUUACCAUGUGAAAACACACUGCGAAACUCAUUACUUCAGAGAGAUAACACAAGCUUGCUCUCACCGCAGGAGAGAUGGCCCUCCAAACUGUACACUAGAAUACG